GGGGGAACCCAGCACUGUUAAACCGGUGUUAUUCCCGCCUGAAUAUAUAGGGCGGGUAAAGCCAAGCGGGGGAAGUGAAACAUCUCAGUACCCCGAGGAAAGUAAAUCAAACGAGACUCCCCAAGUAGUGGCGAGCGAACGGGGAAGAGCCCAAACCGCACGUGUGUAAGUGGUCACGCGUUGCUCGUGCGGUGUUGUAGGGCAGUUGUCCAGGUUGUGACUGACCUGGCAGGAGUUACAAAAGUUGUAUGUAGCUGAAGCGCUUGGAACUGCGCACCAUAGAGGGCAAUCGUCCCGUAAGCGAAACGUACAACUCUCCUGAUGCUGUUCCUGAGUAAGUCCAUGCUCGUGAAACGUGGACUGAAUCUGGGGGGACCACCCUCCAAGGCUAAGUACUCCUUGGUGACCGAUAGCGCACUAGUACUGUGAAGGAAAGGUGAAAAGUACCCCGGGAGGGGAGUGAAAUAGUACCUGAAACCAUGUGCCUACAAGCGGUCGGAGCUCCUUUGGGGGUGACGGCGUGCUUUUUGCAUAACGAGCCAGCGAGUUGCUCGUCUGCGGCAAGGUUAAGCGAUGAGCGGAGCCGGAGCGAAAGCGAGUCCUAAUAGGGCGAUCAUCUAGUCGUAGGCGGCAGACCCGAAACUGAGUGAGCUACCCAUGGGCAGGUUGAAGCGAGGGUAAGACCUCGUGGAGGACCGAACGCACCUAGGUUGAAAACUGGGGCGAUGACCUGUGGGUCGGAGUGAAAGGCUAAUCAAACUCAGUGAUAUCUGGUUCUCUCCGAAAUAUAUUUAGGUAUAGCCUCGGAUAACAUGCGUAUUGGCCGUAGAGCACUGUUUGGGCGCGGGGUCUUACCGGAUUACCAAACUCAGGCAAACUCCGAAGACCAAUUACGUGUACUCCGGGAGUCAGUUGCUGGGGGAUAAACUUCAGCGUCAAAAGGGAAACAGCCCAGACCGCCAGCUAAGGUCCCUAAGUGUUAACUAAGUGGCAAACGAUGUUCGAGUGCACAGACAACCAGGAGGUUGGCUUAGAGGCAGCCACCCUUUAAAGAGUGCGUAAUAGCUCACUGGUCUAGUGCUCGAGCGCGGAUAAUGUAACGGGGCUCAAGUUAACCACCGAAGCUGCGGGUUUGCACUUUGUGCAAGCGGUAGGAGAGCGUUCGCUAUAGGUUGAAGCGGCAGCGGAAGCUCGCCGUGGACAGUAGUGAAGUGAGAAUGCUGGCAUGAGUAACGAAAGACAGGUGAGAAUCCUGUCCACCGAUUAUCUAAGGUUUCCUGGGCAACGUUCGUCGGCUCAGGGUUAGUCGGGACCUAAGGCGAGGCCGCAAGGCGUAGUCGAUGGCCAACAGGUUGAUAUUCCUGUACCACGUAGUAAUCGUUAUGACCGAUAGGGGGGACGAGGAAGGCUAGAGCAUCUCCGGCGUUGGUUGUCCGGGGACAAGCGUGUAGGAGGGACCGCGAUAAAUGCACGGUCCCAUUAAUCCGAGACGUGAUGUGAGGAGGCUUUCGAGCCUCCGACUGCUUGACGCCAUGCCUCCAAGAAAAGCCUCGUAGGCAGAUUACGCGUGCCCGUACCAAAACCGACACAGGUGGAUAAGUAGAGAAUACUAAGGUGAUCGAGAUAACCCUCGUUAAGGAACUCGGCAAAAUGGCUCCGUAACUUCGGGAUAAGGAGCGCCCUAUUAGAGUGAAGCCACUUGCUGGUGGAGCUCGAGGGGGCCGCAGUGAAAAGGUCCAAGCGACUGUUUACCAAAAACACAGGUCUCUGCUAAGUCGUAAGACGACGUAUAGGGGCUGACGCCUGCCCGGUGCCGGAAGGUUACGUGGAGAUGUUAGGUUCGCCGAAGCAUCGAAACUAAGCCCCGGUAAACGGCGGCCGUAACUAUAACGGUCCUAAGGUAGCGAAAUUCCUUGUCGGGUAAGUUCCGACCUGCACGAAUGGCGUAACGACUUGGACGCUGUCUCAACGAGGGGCUCGGUGAAAUUGCAGUCUCGGUGAAGAUGCCGAGUACUCGCAGCUAGACGGAAAGACCCCGUGAACCUUUACUGCACCCUGAUAUUGGCAUUCGAUCCAUUUCGCUCAGGAUAGGUGGGAGACGUUGAAGCAUCGGCUGCGGCUGGUGUGGAGUCAACCUUGAGAUACCACCCUUGAUGUAUUGGAUGUCUAACUGGUAACCGUGAUCCGGUGCCGGAACAGUGUCAGGCGGGUAGUUUGACUGGGGCGGUCGCCUCCUAAAAUGUAACGGAGGCGCGCAAAGGUUCCCUCAGUACGGUCGGAAAUCGUACGUAGAGUGUAAAAGCAAUAAGGGAGCUUGACUGCGAGACUGACAAGUCGAGCAGGUGCGAAAGCAGGCUUUAGUGAUCCGGCAGUAGCAAGUGGAAGCGCUGUCGCUCAACGGAUAAAAGGUACUCCGGGGAUAACAGGCUUAUCGGGCCCAAGAGUCCACAUCGACGGCCCGGUUUGGCACCUCGAUGUCGGCUCGUCGCAUCCUGGGGCUGGAGUAGGUCCCAAGGGUUGGGCUGUUCGCCCAUUAAAGCGGUACGCGAGCUGGGUUCAGAACGUCGCGAGACAGUUCGGUCCCUAUCUGCUGUGAGCGUUGGA
Molecule: ribosomal RNA, 2604 nt
Filed under: Sphingobacteriales bacterium
Lineage: Bacteria; Pseudomonadati; Bacteroidota; Sphingobacteriia; Sphingobacteriales
Description: Bacterial large subunit ribosomal RNA
Rfam family: Bacterial large subunit ribosomal RNA
Source: Rfam by way of RNAcentral